RNAcentral lists this ribosomal RNA (240 nucleotides) under uncultured bacterium. RNAcentral's name for it is "partial 16S ribosomal RNA". It matches the Rfam family "Bacterial small subunit ribosomal RNA", at positions 91 to 334 of the family's 1533-position model. The record is from RNAcentral.
ACGGGUGGCGGACGGGUGAGUAAUGUCUAGGGAAACUGCCGAUGGAGGGGGAUAACUACUGGAAACGGUAGCUAAUACCGCAUAACGUCGCAAGACCAAAGAGGGGGACCUUCGGGCCUCUUGCCAUCGGAUGUGCCCAGAUGGGAUUAGCUAGUAGGUGGGGUAACGGCUCACCUAGGCGACGAUCCCUAGCUGGUCUGAGAGGAUGACCAGCCACACUGGAACUGAGACACGGUCCAG